AGCCUCCUAGCCGCCUCCACCACAAGCGGACGACUCUUGCUAGGUCGGCCUCUACCCCAGCCUCGCUCUCGGCGUCGUGACGUCACCUCUGUGACGUCAUCAUAUGAGGCGGACCCGCCGGCCCAAGGGGUGGGGCGCCGCGGCGGCGGGUGCUUUCGCGGAGUGUUCUGGGAGAUGUAGUUCCUCUUCCUUCUGUCAUCUCUCAGCACUCUGUCCCCCUCCGCCAACUUCCCCACACUAUCGCUCAACUGCCAGUGUCGUUACCAUAGUCAUAAACGAUGGUAGUAAAUAAUGGCAACAUUGACACCUUCAUGUGUUUUAUGAACCUCUUCACAUACAGUUAAAAAACCUGAGAUUGCAGGAAGCCAAUGUGGCCAUUACACAGGUGCCAAAAAUCUGGAAACUCCCACCCCAGUAGGUUCCCUGCACUCUUGAUCCUUCCUCAGAUGGAGAGAAUUUGUUUUCAGAUGCUAUACACCCGGGCUCAUCAUUCUUACACGACCACUAACUACUUCAAGGACUAGAGCUGAGGCAGCAAGGGGCUCCGGACAUUCAAAGGUCAAUAAUUGACUCUCCGAUGACGUGGGCCUGGGAGUGUCUGUUUAUGUGUGUGUGCUCCCAAGACAGCACUGGAAUGAGCGAUUCUUCCUUAUCAGGGCAGGGCCAAGCUCAACCCAUGGGGCCUCUGAUCUCAGAAGCCACUUCUCCAAGGCAAGACAAGAAGCAUGGAAAGAACAUAAUGCUUCAAGCAACACUUGAAGAGGGAGUAAGAUGAAACCAAUCAUUUGGAUCAUAUGGUGGAAUGAGAAGAGCUCAGCCCAGAAACUGCUGUCUCUGAGCCUUCAUCUCUGUCUGGCUGAAAAGAAAACUGCGGCUCAGAGUUUAGUCCCUCACCAAGCUCAGAAUGAAGAAAUGGUGGACAAUCUGAACUCCUGCCUCACCUGCGAACUUACAUCAAAUGAAGACCCACAUGCAGAGGACUGUUCUCCAUAGCACCUCCCCUCCCAGGAACCUUGACCUCUGGCCUGGCAAGUCAGAACUUUUUUUGAUGGGCAGAGGUGAGACAUGCAUAGGAAGGAGUCUGUCGGGGGCAAAGAUCCAGCUAGAGCCAUCACCGCAAAUCCAGCACCCAUGAUAGCAUAAAAGAGCUCUUCUCAAACACACCUUGUGAUAGGUAAUUAACUGUUGUGCUAACCCAAGAAAUAAAUGCCCAGCUGACUGGGUCAGCAUGGCUCUGAGUGUGGCCAAAUGGACUUACUGAAGGCAGAAUCUACUGGCACCAACCGAUAGGCUUAUAGCCUGGAUGGGAUAAAAAGGCAAAAAAGAGGAAGUCUCACUUCGGUUUCUUUGGAGGAGCUCCAGUGUUUUCUUCACCUUGGCACAUCCAUCUCCUGGCUUCCAAUGCAGGCCCUUCAGCCUCUCAGCUCAGACUCUUCAGCCUUCCAAUGCAGACCCUUCAGCUUCCAGCAGGACUCUGCAGUGUGUCAGGUCUUCCACCUUUGCAGCUGGAUCCUCCAGCUCUCCAGUGCACAGACAGCCCAUAUGCACUCUUCCACACCUGACUCUGCAGGCAGCCAUUGUAAGUUUACCUUCAGGGAAUGAGCCAAAGACAGGAGUGGUGGCCCCAGAAAAGGGACAGAGGCAGGCCUGGGGAAAAGGUGCUAUUUCUUGGCAAAGGAGGUCCUACGGGAUUGUUCUAGUUGAUCCUAGAGCCUCGUAGGGGAUCACAAACUGCCCUUGCCUGCACCUAGUUAUUACACUCCACAAAGGCAGCGUUGAUAUUGUGCUGCCUAGGCACUGGGCUGACUGCCUUGAAGCCAGCGAAUUGGUUGAAAAGCAUAGAGAACACAGGAGGGACUGGGGAUUUAGCUCAGCGGUUCCACUGCCUGCUUCACAAGUGCAAGGUCCCGAGUUUGAUCUCCAGUACCCCCACCUCCCCAAAAUUACAUAAACUCAUACAGAACAUGACUUGUUGGUCUCCUCUGGCAGGUUGGUGAGGAACAAGAUGUGAUUUGGUGGAGUCUCCAAGAAAGACUGCUUGCUUAGCAGGUGUGAGGCUCUGGGUUCAAUUCCAAGUACCAAAAAAACUCCAAAACAAAACCUUAAAAAUGAGUUUGAGGGCCAGGGAUUUAGCUCAGUAGUUCUGGCACCUGCCUCUCAAGCACAAGGGCCUGAGUUCGAUCCCCAGUACAAAAAAAAAAAAGUUCGAGACCAGCCUGGGCUGAGUUCAAAGCCAUGAAGUCUCAUAGCAAGACCUCAUCUCAAAAAAAAAAAAAAAAAAAAAAAAAGAGAGAGAGAGGGAAAGAUUGGGCAGGUCAUGUGGCAUCCACCCCAUCACAAAUUGCUGUGGGGGCAUGACCCAAGGGAAGAUACGGCUUGUGAGAGGCCUGGAGGUGGGAUCAUGCCAGGGAGCGGCAUGUAGGGCAGCUGGCCUGACACGUAGUGAAUGAUGUGGGAUGCUUGAAUCAUUGGUGGCAUGCCCAGGAUAGGGCCCUGGACAGUUCCCACCACAGGAGCAGCCGUCUCACCCUUCACAGCCUUCUUGGCAGAUGGCAUCUCUUAGGACUUAUGUUUAUAUGUAAAUGACAAAACCUCAUGUGCUCACAGAUGGGGCCUUUUGGAGGUGGCUCGAUCUAGGAUGUGUGAUAACUACACUGGUUUAGUAUAGUUCUAGAUGUGAUAAUGCAAGGCCCACCCUGACUGUGAAUGGCACCAACCGAUAAACUUAUAGCCUACAUGGAAUAUGAAGGGAAAGAGGGAAGGCAGGUUGCUGCUGUUGCUGCUUUUUGCCUACCCUGCCAUGGACUGUUUCUCCUCUGUCAUGCCCCUCUGCCAUGUGGUCUUGCCUUUGAACAGCCAACUAUGGACUAAAAUCUCUACAAACUGUUAGCCAAAAUAAACCUUUUUUCCUUUAACACUGUCUUUUUUUUUUUUUCCUUUAACUUUGAGCGUUGACUAUUUUGUCUCAGCAACUAGAGAAGUAAGUAAGACAGCAUCUCUUGGCUCUUGGCUUCUUCUUCUCCGGCUUGUGGUCCCACUCUACAGAGGCAUUUUUCAUUGUGGCGCUGAUAUCUGAGUUGGUCUUGGCACAUGGGCUUGUCAUGGAGGGAGUGCAGGGCAUUGGUGGGGCUACUGACUUCCUUGAAGGUGACAAAGUCCUGGCCCCUCAACUUCAGGCUCUGUGACACCAGGAUAUCCAGGAUCUGGCCAAACUGGGAGAAGUGGUGUACAAGGACUUCUUCAGCUUAUCUUUCUUGGUCUUCUCAUUGAGGUUAUUGAUAUAAACAGUGUGAUUGAGGCCAAUCUCAGGAACUACCACAAUAGGGCAACAGGGCCACAGGUCCCACAAGUAGCUCCUGCCAGUUUCUUCAGACUCCAACUCUUCCUUUUGCUCAGGCUUUUUUUUUUUUUUUUUUUUUUUUUUUU
Long non-coding RNA from Fukomys damarensis (Damara mole-rat), 3426 nucleotides. The record is from Ensembl. NCBI's taxonomy places the organism in Eukaryota, Metazoa, Chordata, Mammalia, Rodentia, Bathyergidae.